AUAUAAUUCACGAUGUAGAUAACCUGUGAUAUAAUUAGUGUAGAUAAUAUGU
RNAcentral lists this non-coding RNA (52 nucleotides) under Trypanosoma lewisi. Lineage: Eukaryota; Euglenozoa; Kinetoplastea; Trypanosomatida; Trypanosomatidae. The record is from RNAcentral.